GAUGAACGCUGGCGGCGUGCCUAAUACAUGCAAGUCGAGCGAACGGACGAGGAGCUUGCUCCUCUGACGUUAGCGGCGGACGGGUGAGUAACACGUGGAUAACCUACCUAUAAGACUGGGAUAACUUCGGGAAACCGGAGCUAAUACCGGAUAAUAUUUUGAACCGCAUGGUUCAAUAGUGAAAAACGGUCUUGCUGUCACUUAUAGAUGGAUCCGCGCUGCAUUAGCUAGUUGGUAAGGUAACGGCUUACCAAGGCAACGAUGCAUAGCCGACCUGAGAGGGUGAUCGGCCACACUGGAACUGAGACACGGUCCAGACUCCUACGGGAGGCAGCAGUAGGGAAUCUUCCGCAAUGGGCGAAAGCCUGACGGAGCAACGCCGCGUGAGUGAUGAAGGUCUUCGGAUCGUAAAACUCUGUUAUUAGGGAAGAACAAAUGUGUAAGUAACUGUGCACGUCUUGACGGUACCUAAUCAGAAAGCCACGGCUAACUACGUG
RNAcentral lists this ribosomal RNA (497 nucleotides) under uncultured bacterium. RNAcentral's name for it is "partial 16S ribosomal RNA". It matches the Rfam family "Bacterial small subunit ribosomal RNA", at positions 28 to 507 of the family's 1533-position model. The record is from RNAcentral.